This 481-nucleotide ribosomal RNA is filed under the name uncultured bacterium. RNAcentral's name for it is "partial 16S ribosomal RNA". It matches the Rfam family "Bacterial small subunit ribosomal RNA", at positions 28 to 507 of the family's 1533-position model. The record is from RNAcentral.
GAUGAACGCUGGCGGCGUGCUUAACACAUGCAAGUCGAACGAAGCAUUUAAGACAGAUUACUUCGGUUUGAAGUCUUUUAUGACUGAGUGGCGGACGGGUGAGUAACGCGUGUGUAACCUGCCUCAUACAGGGGGAUAGCAGCUGGAAACGGCUGGUAAUACCGCAUAAGCGCACAGUACCACAUGGUACAGUGUGAAAAGCUCCGGUGGUAUGAGAUGGAGCCGCGUCUGAUUAGCGUGUUGGCGGGGUAACGGCACACCAAGGCGACGAUCAGUAGCCGACCGGAGAGGGUGACCGGCCACAUUGGGACUGAGACACGGCCCAGACUCCUACGGGAGGCAGCAGUGGGGAAUAUUGCACAAUGGAGGAAACUCUGAUGCAGCGACGCCGGGUGAGUGAAGAAGUAGUUCGCUAUGUAAAGCUCUAUCAGCAGGGAAGAUAGUGACGGUACCUGACGAAGAAGCUCCGGCUAAAUACGUG